Long non-coding RNA from Gallus gallus (chicken), 560 nucleotides. The record is from Ensembl. NCBI's taxonomy places the organism in Eukaryota, Metazoa, Chordata, Aves, Galliformes, Phasianidae.
CAGCGGCAUCCUUUCUGGACCUGCCAGCUGAGCUGCCCGCAGCAAUGGGUGCACUGCACAGGACUGCCCAUUGUCACUGCCAGCCCACAAAGCCUGUGCAGCUGUGUCCUGCUCGUGCCCUGCUCCAUGGUGACACCUGGUGAUGCUGCCCUUGGUGGGGUGGAGAGGAGGACAACAGGGAUUGGUCUCAGCUCAGCAUCAGAGCAUUCUGUGGGUCAGAGCUGGGACACCCUUGUGCCAUACAAACCAGUGACCCUACCCAGGGAACCAGAUGCAUGAUCAUUUCAACAGGAGAGUUUCCAUCCAGCCUAGAUAGGGAAGAAUCAGUCACCAAAAGAAGAAAGCAUCUGGAAGAGCCAUUCACCGGGAUGAGCAAUUUGUACCACCACGCUUGGUUUUGGAAGCAACCCUUUGGGAAACAGCUUGGGUUGGCCUGGAGAUGAUCUGAUGCUCUUAUGGCCUGCAGCAGGAGUUCACCUGACAAUAAGGUGCCCAGCAGCAGGUGAACCUUCCCAUCAGCCCCCAGCAACCCUGUGCCAUCCCCAGCAUCGACCCCCACG